AGGGCGAUGAGAUGAUGAAUUUCGAAUUUAGCUAUCAAUUGCACGAGGCUACUAUUGAAUAGCUGUAUGUUUUCUAUGGUAAUGAUGUGGUGUGUUUGGAUGGUCUGGAGCUUCACUGGCAACCGCACAACUACAUUUACCAAAGGGAUUCAUGCAUAUCUAUUAGAAGAAUGCUUCUGCACUUGUCUUAUUUUGUGACUUCCACAAUCAUCUGAGCCCUCUUGUUGUUUGUGUAUUGGUCCCUAAUUCUUCUUUCCUUUUUUGAAAUGUAGUCCUUUUGGAUUAUGGGUAUUGCACAAUUUGCAAUAUCAUACGUAAAGCUUCUCUGCUUUUCUUAUUUCAUGGAUUCCACAAUCGGAUUUUUUUUCUAAUUCUUGUUUUUUUUUUCCUUGUUCUCAUCUCCUUUUGGGAUUGCCUCUCCUUCGGCCAUGAUUUGGUUGGAGGAAUUAAGCACAAAAGAAAUAUUAUUUACCUAUUUGUCAGUAUAAGAUGUGUGAGGAUAAGAACUACUAUUCUUGUAAAAGGGAUAAUAGUUGAAUUGUCUCUCUUCAUUAGAGCUGCUGCUCUUCUAAAAUAGAUAAUACUCUAUCACGUAUGUAAGCAUGAGGGCCUCUGUCUUCAUUAUAAUUGUUAUGGAUGUAGGUGAGAUCUUGGAAUCUUUCUUGAUGAGAGGGAAUAAAGGAAAUUGCAUUAAGAGGCUAAAUCUAAAUGAGUGAACUGCAGAAUGGCCUGGAACUUCAAGGAACCACAACUGUGAUCAAUAGGGGGAUUCAUGUACUGUGAUCUGAAGAACAUUAAUGUACUUUUCUUUGUUUGUGGAUACCGUUGUCAAUUGAGCAACCUGUUAUUUGUCUCUAAUUUUAUUUCUUAAUCACCUUCUUUUCUUUUGCAUUAUUGUCUUUUUGGUUUUGGUGCUAUACAAUGUGCAGUGUGGUAGGUAUUACUGCCUUUGAAAUUAUAAGGCUGUGUCAGAUUUAUAUUUGUAGUUGAUGGGCUUGUUGUGGAAGAAGCAUGGCUCUUUGGGUUGUUGCACCAAGUUCUUCUGUUGUGGCUGUUUUCAAAUAUAAGUGAUCAGUGGCUAUAUUUAUAACGGUGUCUAUGUAGCUACUGUUUGCCAGCUAUCAGUGGAUCUUCCAUGGUUGAGCUUUCCUUAUCCUUAGUUUGAUUUAUUUCUUGAACUUGAAAUUUUUGUACUCGAUAAUUGCUUUAGAAAACCGUAAGAAAGCUUUGUCAAAUGAAAACUUAAUAUGUCUUUUUUACAAUAUAGUUAUGAUUGAGGAAGAAAACACACCAAUGAUGAACUGCGUCACCAUCUUUGUAGCUGUAUGAUUUCAAGAUUUUUGGGCAUUUAUGCCAAGGUAUGAUUGUUUUGCAACAUUUUUGUGCACACUUUCCUUCUGACUACCAUUGCAGACAUUAAAUGGAUGUACGGGAUAUGAGUGCAUUUGAAUCUGGUUCUUUUAAUGUUGUUAUUGAUAAAGGAACACUGGGCUCUCUCAUGUUGGGUGGGAAAAAACUAGGCAGUUUUUAU
This is a long non-coding RNA of Dendrobium catenatum, 1531 nucleotides long. RefSeq lists it as uncharacterized. Lineage: Eukaryota; Viridiplantae; Streptophyta; Magnoliopsida; Asparagales; Orchidaceae. The record is from RefSeq and is a predicted model, not a curated record. The transcript is spliced from 3 exons.